This 115-nucleotide ribosomal RNA is filed under the name Mesocricetus auratus (golden hamster). The record is from RNAcentral. Lineage: Eukaryota; Metazoa; Chordata; Mammalia; Rodentia; Cricetidae.
AGUUAUAGCCACAUCACCCUGAACAUGCCACAUCCCAUCUGAUCUUGGAAACCAAUCAGGUUAGUACUUGGAUGGGAGACGGCUCCAAGGAACUAGAGAAGAACGACUGUAGUUU